This is a non-coding RNA of Pelobates cultripes (western spadefoot toad), 222 nucleotides long. NCBI's taxonomy places the organism in Eukaryota, Metazoa, Chordata, Amphibia, Anura, Pelobatidae. The record is from the annotation of a GenBank genome assembly.
ACGUAAUAUACAUAAACAUCACCAUAUAAUUAACCCCUUAAGGGUGGAGCCAAAUGUACACGUUGUGAACAAAACAAAAUGUAAACAAAACCUGGCAUUUGCGCUACAUGUCUGUCCAACCGUAAUUCACCUCUUUCAUAUUAAAUGCACCCACCCUUAUUAUAUAUCAUUUUAUUCAGGGGAAACAGGGCUUUCAUUUAAUAUCAAAUAUUUAGCUAUGAA